Mercurialis annua (annual mercury) is the source of this 609-nucleotide long non-coding RNA. RefSeq lists it as uncharacterized. The record is from RefSeq and is a predicted model, not a curated record. NCBI's taxonomy places the organism in Eukaryota, Viridiplantae, Streptophyta, Magnoliopsida, Malpighiales, Euphorbiaceae. The transcript is spliced from 4 exons.
GGCAACCAAUUAAGUAAAUCAACGGCCUGUGGCUUUGCGGAGACUUUCUAUCUUCCCAACAACAGUCUACUCUGCUUUCCCAUAUUCAAAACGAGGGAUGUUCACCAAGUCCACAAACAAUCAGGUAUAGCAGUAGUCAGUAAACAAACGUCAAUCCAGCUACUCGAAGCACAGCAAGUUCCUUUUUCUUGUUCCUGUUCAGUCAUGUUUCAUGGAGACAAUCAGAGUAACUUCGCUUCAGUUUUCACCUACUGUGACUAUAUUUAACGGAACUGACAAGGGUUAUUAUCGGUAUCAGAAGAAAGUACUCAAGAAGUUGAAAGAGGAAAUGGAAAAUGAUGGCGGGCAGAACGGAUACAAUGUUCCUACGCAAGAUCUCAAAUCCGACUAGCUGCUGAACUGGGGAACUGUUGUUAAAUCCAAUGUGCUUAGGGGUACAUCUCUCGGAAAUUUUCAAUUUGAAGCUGACAUCAAUAUGUUAUUAGCCUGGUUAAUUUAUAAAUCUUAGUAUGGGAGGUUAACUGUGAUUUGUGUAGCAUUAGCGUACGUAGAUUUUUCUGUAUUAAGUGUUGGGGGGUUUUGUUGAAUUAAUUUUAAUAUAAAAAUAUU